GAAAUGCGAUAAGUAAUGUGAAUUGCAGAAUUCCGUGAAUCAUCGAAUCUUUGAACGCACAUUGCGCCCUCUGGCAUUCCGGGGGGCAUGCCUGUCCGAGCGUCAUUACGCACCCUCAAGCCCGGCUUGUGUGAUGGGCCCCGGCGUCUCGUUCGCGAGACGGGCCCGAAAGGCAGCGGCGGCGUCGACCCGAUGAGCCCGAGCGUAUGGGGACUUCUGUCACACGUUCGCGGUGCGGACCGGCGCCUGCUUGACUUUUCUGAUUAUCCAGGUUGAUCUCGGAUCAGGUAGGGAUACCCGCUGAACUUAAGC
RNAcentral lists this unclassified non-coding RNA (312 nucleotides) under plant metagenome. RNAcentral's name for it is "partial contains 5.8S ribosomal RNA, internal transcribed spacer 2, and large subunit ribosomal RNA". The stretch from base 1 to 105 matches the Rfam family "5.8S ribosomal RNA", at positions 50 to 154 of the family's 154-position model. The record is from RNAcentral.